AGAGUUUGAUCAUGGCUCAGAUUGAACGCUGGCGGCAUGGCUAAAACAUGCAAGUCGAACGCGAAAGGUAGCAAUACCGAGUAGAGUGGCGAACGGGCGAGUAAUGCAUUCCUAACGUGCCUCGAGGUCGGGGAUAGCUGUCCGAAAGGACAGGUAAUACCCGAUGAUCCUGCUGAAUCGCAUGGUUUUGCAGGCAAAGGUUUACUGCCUUGAGAUCGGGGAAUGUCCUAUCAGGUAGUUGGUGAGGUAAUGGCUCACCAAGCCAAAGACGGGUAGCGGGUGUGAGAGCAUGACCCGCCGCAUCGGGACUGAGACACUGCCCGGACUCCUACGGGAGGCUGCAGUAACGAAUCUUCCGCAAUGCGCGAAAGCGUGACGGAGCAAUGCCGCGUGUGGGAUGAAGCCCUUCGGGGUGUAAACUACUGUCAGGGGUUACCAAUAAUGAGGAACCCCAAAGGAAGAGCCGGCUAACUCUGUGCCAGCAGCCGCGGUAAUACAGAGGGCUCGAGCGUUAAUCGGAAUCACUGGGCUUAAAGCGUGCGUAGGCGGAGGCGUAAGUGUCUUGUGAAAUCCCACAGCUCAACUGUGGAACUGCGGGGCAUACUGCGUCUCUUGAGGUCGGUAGAGGUCGCCGGAACUGUAGGUGUAGCGGUGAAAUGCGUAGAUAUCUACAGGAACGCCAAUGGUGAAGACAGGCGACUGGGCCGAUUCUGACGCUCAGGCACGAAAGCGUGGGGAGCAAACAGGAUUAGAUACCCUAGUAGUCC
RNAcentral lists this ribosomal RNA (767 nucleotides) under uncultured bacterium. Its description in RNAcentral is "bacterial SSU rRNA". It matches the Rfam family "Bacterial small subunit ribosomal RNA", at positions 8 to 796 of the family's 1533-position model. The record is from RNAcentral.